ACGGGAGGCAGCAGUGGGGGAUAUUGCACAAUGGGGGAAACCCUGAUGCAGCGACGCCGCGUGAGCGAUGAAGUAUUUCGGUAUGUAAAGCUCUAUCAGCAGGGAAGAAAAUGACGGUACUUGACUAAGAAGCUCCGGCUAAAUACGUGCCAGCAGCCGCGGUAAUACGUAUGGAGCAAGCGUUAUCCGGAUUUACUGGGUGUAAAGGGAGCGUAGACGGCUUUGCAAGUCUGAAGUGAAAGCCCGGGGCUCAACCCCGGAACUGCUUUGGAAACUGUAGAGCUAGAGUACAGGAGAGGUAAGCGGAAUUCCUAGUGUAGCGGUGAAAUGCGUAGAUAUUAGGAGGAACACCAGUGGCGAAGGCGGCUUACUGGACUGUAACUGACGUUGAGGCUCGAAAGCGUGGGGAGCAAACAGGAUUAGAUACCCUGGUA
This 434-nucleotide ribosomal RNA is filed under the name uncultured Lachnospiraceae bacterium. RNAcentral's name for it is "bacterial SSU rRNA". It matches the Rfam family "Bacterial small subunit ribosomal RNA", at positions 341 to 792 of the family's 1533-position model. Lineage: Bacteria; Bacillati; Bacillota; Clostridia; Lachnospirales; Lachnospiraceae. The record is from RNAcentral.